RNAcentral lists this ribosomal RNA (614 nucleotides) under uncultured bacterium. RNAcentral describes it as "bacterial SSU rRNA". It matches the Rfam family "Bacterial small subunit ribosomal RNA", at positions 36 to 682 of the family's 1533-position model. The record is from RNAcentral.
CUGGCGGCGUGCCUAACACAUGCAAGUCGAACGAGAAAGUGGAGCAAUCCAUGAGUACAGUGGCGUACGGGUGAGUAACACGUGACUAACCUACCCUCGAGUGGGGAAUAACUUCGGGAAACCGAGGCUAAUACCGCAUAAUGUCUACGGACCAAAUGCGUAAGCAGCUUGAGGAGGGGGUCGCGGCUGAUUAGCUUGUUGGCGGGGUAACGGCCCACCAAGGCAAUGAUCAGUAGCCGGCCUGAGAGGGCGCACGGCCACACUGGAACUGAAACACGGUCCAGACUCCUACGGGAGGCAGCAGUGGGGAAUUUUGCGCAAUGGGGGAAACCCUGACGCAGCAACGCCGCGUGGAGGAUGAAGCCCCUUGGGGUGUAAACUCCUUUCGAUCGGGACGAUUAUGACGGUACCGGAUGAAGAAGCACCGGCUAACUCUGUGCCAGCAGCCGCGGUAAUACAGAGGGUGCAAGCGUUGUUCGGAAUUAUUGGGCGUAAAGGGUGCGUANGCGGUGCGGUAAGUCUUCUGUGAAACCUCCGGGCUUAACUCGGAGCCUGCAGGGGAAACUGCCGUGCUGGAGUAUGGGAGAGGUGAGUGGAAUUCCCGGUGUAGCGGU